Molecule: ribosomal RNA, 492 nt
Filed under: uncultured bacterium
Lineage: Bacteria
Description: partial 16S ribosomal RNA
Rfam family: Bacterial small subunit ribosomal RNA
Source: RNAcentral
AGUGAACGCUGGCGGUAGGCCUAACACAUGCAAGUCGAACGGCAGCACAGUAAGAGCUUGCUCUUACGGGUGGCGAGUGGCGGAUGGGUGAGGAGUACAUCGGAAUCUACUUUUUCGUGGGGGAUAACGUAGGGAAACUUACGCUAAUACAGCAUACGAUCUACGGGUGAAAGCAGGGGAUCUUCGGACCUUGCGCGAUUGAAUGAGCCGAUGUCGGAUUAGCUAGUUGGCGGGGUAAAGGCCCAGCAAGGCGACGAUCCGUAGCCGGUGUGAGAGGGUGAUCGGCGACACUGGGAGUGAGACACGGUCCAGACUCCUACGGGAGGCAGCAGUUGGGAAUGUUGGACAAUGGGCGCAAGCCUGAUCCAGCCAUGCUGCGUGGGUGAAGAAGGCCUUCGGGUUGUAUAACCCUUUUGUUGGGGAAGAACAGCAGCGGGUUAAACCACGCCUGUUCUGACGGUACCCAAAGAAUAAGCACCGGCUAACUACGUG